RNAcentral lists this ribosomal RNA (974 nucleotides) under Flavobacteriaceae bacterium. RNAcentral describes it as "bacterial SSU rRNA". It matches the Rfam family "Bacterial small subunit ribosomal RNA", at positions 1 to 978 of the family's 1533-position model. Lineage: Bacteria; Pseudomonadati; Bacteroidota; Flavobacteriia; Flavobacteriales; Flavobacteriaceae. The record is from RNAcentral.
ACAAUGAAGAGUUUGAUCCUGGCUCAGGAUGAACGCUAGCGGCAGGCCUAACACAUGCAAGUCGAGGGGUAACGUGAGUGCUUGCACUUGACGACGACCGGCGCACGGGUGCGGAACGCGUAUGGAACCUACCUUUAUCAGGGGGAUAGCCCAUGGAAACGUGGAUUAAUACCCCAUAGUAUUAUUUCAUUGCAUAAUGAUUUAAUUAAAGAAUUUCGGAUAGAGAUGGCCAUGCGUAUCAUUAGCUAGUAGGCGAGGUAACGGCUCACCUAGGCGACGAUGAUUAGGGGUCCUGAGAGGGAGAUCCCCCACACUGGUACUGAGACACGGACCAGACUCCUACGGGAGGCAGCAGUGAGGAAUAUUGGGCAAUGGAGGCAACUCUGACCCAGCCAUGCCGCGUGCAGGAAGACGGCCCUAUGGGUUGUAAACUGCUUUUAUACAGGAAGAACACCACCCACGUGUGGGUGACUGACGGUACUGUAAGAAUAAGGACCGGCUAACUCCGUGCCAGCAGCCGCGGUAAUACGGAGGGUCCAAGCGUUAUCCGGAAUCAUUGGGUUUAAAGGGUCCGUAGGCGGGCUAAUAAGUCAGAGGUGAAAGUUUGCAGCUCAACUGUAAAAUUGCCUUUGAUACUGUUAGUCUUGAGUUAUAGUGAAGUGGUUAGAAUAAGUGGUGUAGCGGUGAAAUGCAUAGAUAUCACUUAGAAUACCGAUUGCGAAGGCAGAUCACUAACUGUAUACUGACGCUGAGGGACGAAAGCAUGGGUAGCGAACGGGAUUAGAUACCCCGGUAGUCCAUGCUGUAAACGAUGGAUACUAGCUGUUGGCUUCGGUCAGUGGCUAAGCGAAAGUGAUAAGUAUCCCACCUGGGGAGUACGUUCGCAAGAAUGAAACUCAAAGGAAUUGACGGGGGCCCGCACAAGCGGUGGAGCAUGUGGUUUAAUUCGAUGAUACGCGAGGAACCUUACCAGG